This 497-nucleotide ribosomal RNA is filed under the name uncultured bacterium. RNAcentral's name for it is "partial 16S ribosomal RNA". It matches the Rfam family "Bacterial small subunit ribosomal RNA", at positions 28 to 507 of the family's 1533-position model. The record is from RNAcentral.
GAUGAGCGCUGGCGGCGUGCCUAAUACAUGCAAGUCGAGCGAACAGACGAGGAGCUUGCUCCUCUGACGUUAGCGGCGGACGGGUGAGUAACACGUGGAUAACCUACCUAUAAGACUGGGAUAACUUCGGGAAACCGGAGCUAAUACCGGAUAAUAUAUUGAACCGCAUGGUUCAAUAGUGAAAGACGGUUUUGCUGUCACUUAUAGAUGGAUCCGCGCCGCAUUAGCUAGUUGGUAAGGUAACGGCUUACCAAGGCGACGAUGCGUAGCCGACCUGAGAGGGUGGUCGGCCACACUGGAACUGGGACACGGUCCAGACUCCUACGGGAGGCAGCAGUAGGGAAUCUUCCGCAAUGGGCGAAAGCCUGACGGAGCAACGCCGCGUGAGUGAUGAAGGUCUUCGGAUCGUAAAACUCUGUUAUUAGGGAAGAACAAAUGUGUAAGUAACUAUGCACGUCUUGACGGUACCUAAUCAGAAAGCCACGGCUAACUACGUG